Molecule: ribosomal RNA, 500 nt
Filed under: uncultured bacterium
Lineage: Bacteria
Description: partial 16S ribosomal RNA
Rfam family: Bacterial small subunit ribosomal RNA
Source: RNAcentral
GACGAACGCUGGCGGCGUGCUUAACACAUGCAAGUCGAACGGAAAGGCCUGCUUUCCCUUGUGGAUUGCGGGUACUCGAGUGGCGAACGGGUGAGUAACACGUGAGUGAUCUGCCCCCAACUUGGGUAUAAGCCUGGGAAACUGGGUCUAAUUCCCGAUAGGACUGCAGGGUGGUGCCUGUGGUGGAAAACGAUUUUCUAGUGGUUGGGGAUGAGCUCGCGGCCUAUCAGCUUGUUGGUGGGGUAAUGGCCUACCAAGGCGACGAUGGGUAGCCGGCCUGAUAGGAUGAUCAGCGAAAGUGGAACUGAGACACGGUCCAGACUCCGACGGGAGGCAGAAGUGGGGAAUAGUGGAGAAUGGGCGCGAGCUUGAUCCAGCCAUACCGCGUGGGUGAAGAAGGCCUUCGGGUUGGAAAGGCGUUUUGUUGGGAAAGAAAAGCAGCAGGUUAAUACCCCGCUGGUCUGACGGUACCCAAAGAAUAAGCACCGGCUAACUUCGUG